This 278-nucleotide long non-coding RNA is filed under the name Sorghum bicolor (sorghum). Its description in RNAcentral is "long non-coding RNA (SBIC_LNC017517)". The record is from RNAcentral. Lineage: Eukaryota; Viridiplantae; Streptophyta; Magnoliopsida; Poales; Poaceae.
GUGCCAGAGUGUACAAAGGUAUUUAUAAAUAUAGAGGCUCUCUAGGAAAUAAUCUAUUCUAUCCGCAAGCGCACAGAUAAAACAUCUCAUUGUAGCAUUUCACCAGGAUAAGUAUUCCACGUAUCGUUAUUUAUAAUUUUGCUUAAGAGAACAAGGGGUGAAAUUAAAAUAAGGACAAAAUCUAUCAAGGCAUAGAAUAGAGAUAAACUUGCAAGAACAUGAUUACUAAUGAGAAACUCGUCACACAGUCACUUACUUUGGCAGGAGGUAAACCAUAA